GGGCCGUUAGCUCAGUUGGCAGAGCAGCUGACUCUUAAUCAGCGGGUCCCAGGUUCGAGCCCUGGACGGCCCACCA
This 76-nucleotide transfer RNA is filed under the name Ectothiorhodospiraceae bacterium AqS1. RNAcentral describes it as "tRNA-Lys". It matches the Rfam family "tRNA". From Rfam's summary of the family: Transfer RNA (tRNA) molecules are approximately 80 nucleotides in length. Their secondary structure includes four short double-helical elements and three loops (D, anti-codon, and T loops). RNAcentral also lists the same sequence under 4 other names. Lineage: Bacteria; Pseudomonadati; Pseudomonadota; Gammaproteobacteria; Chromatiales; Ectothiorhodospiraceae. The record is from RNAcentral.